RNAcentral lists this ribosomal RNA (440 nucleotides) under uncultured bacterium. Its description in RNAcentral is "partial 16S ribosomal RNA". It matches the Rfam family "Bacterial small subunit ribosomal RNA", at positions 338 to 795 of the family's 1533-position model. The record is from RNAcentral.
CCUACGGGGGGCUGCAGUGGGGAAUAUUGCACAAUGGGGGAAACCCUGAUGCAGCGACGCCGCGUGAGUGAAGAAGUAAUUCGGUAUGUAAAGCUCUAUCAGCAGGGAAGAAAAUGACGGUACCUGAGUAAUAAGCCCCGGCUAACUACGUGCCAGCAGCCGCGGUAAUACGUAGGGGGCAAGCGUUAUCCGGAUUUACUGGGUGUAAAGGGAGCGUAGACGGCAGUGCAAGUCUGGAGUGAAAGGCGGGGGCUCAACCCCCGGACUGCUCUGGAAACUGUACGGCUGGAGUGCAGGAGAGGUAAGUGGAAUGCCUAGUGUAGCGGUGAAAUGCGUAGAUAUUAGGAGGAACACCAGUGGCGAAGGCGGCUUACUGGACUGUAACUGACGUUGAGGCUCGAAAGCGUGGGGAGCAAACAGGAUUAGAUACCCGAGUAGUC